This 345-nucleotide unclassified non-coding RNA is filed under the name soil metagenome. Its description in RNAcentral is "partial contains 5.8S ribosomal RNA, internal transcribed spacer 2, and large subunit ribosomal RNA". The stretch from base 1 to 120 matches the Rfam family "5.8S ribosomal RNA", at positions 35 to 154 of the family's 154-position model. The record is from RNAcentral.
GAUGAAGAACGCAGCGAAAUGCGAUACGUAAUGUGAAUUGCAGAAUUCACUGAAUCAUCGAGUCUUUGAACGCACAUUGCGCCCCCUGGUAUUCCGGGGGGCAUGCCUGUCCGAGCGUCAUUGCUGCCCUCAAGCACGGCUUGUGUGUUGGGCCUCCGUCCUCCUCCCGGGGGACGGGCCCGAAAGGCAGCGGCGGCACCGCGUCCGGUCCUCGAGCGUAUGGGGCUUCGUCACCCGCUCUUGUAGGCCCGGCCGGCGCUUGCCGACACAUCAAUCUUUUUUCCAGGUUGACCUCGGAUCAGGUAGGGAUACCCGCUGAACUUAAGCAUAUCAAUAAGCGGAGGA